CAGAGGAGGAGAUGAAGAGGGA
RNAcentral lists this microRNA (22 nucleotides) under Carica papaya (papaya). RNAcentral's name for it is "cpa-miR8154". Lineage: Eukaryota; Viridiplantae; Streptophyta; Magnoliopsida; Brassicales; Caricaceae. The record is from miRBase by way of RNAcentral.